GAACGAAGCACAGAUGUAGAAUUUCUUCGGAAAGGAAGCGCCUGUGACUGAGUGGCGGACGGGUGAGUAACGCGUGGGCAACCUGCCCCAUACCGGGGGACAACAGCUGGAAACGGCUGCUAAUACCGCAUACGUUUUCGGUGCCGCAUGGCGCCGAAAAGAAAACUCUGGUGGUAUGGGAUGGGCCCGCGUCUGAUUAGCUAGUUGGGAGGGUAACGGCCUACCAAGGCGACGAUCUGUAGCCGGCCUGAGAGGGCGACCGGCCAUAUUGGGACUGAGACACGGCCCAGACUCCUGCGGGAGGCAGCAGUGGGGAAUAUUGCACAAUGGGGGAAACCCUGAUGCGGGGACGCAGAAAAAAAAGAAGAAGUACCUCGGCCCCCAAAGCUCUAUCAGCAGGGAAGAAAGUGACAAAACCUGACUAAGAAGCCCCGGCUAACUACGUGCCAGCAGCCGCGGUAAUACGUAGGGGGCAAGCGUUAUCCGGAUUCACUGGGCGUAAAGGGAGCGCAGGCGGCGCGGCAAGUCUGAUGUGAAAGCCCGGGGCUCAACCCCGGGUCUGCAUUGGAAACUGUCGAGCUGGAGUGUCGGAGGGGUAAGCGGAAUUCCUAGUGUAGCGGUGAAAUGGGUAGAUAUUAGGGGGAACACCAGUGGCGAAGGCGGCUUACUGGACGAUGACUGAC
This 683-nucleotide ribosomal RNA is filed under the name uncultured bacterium. RNAcentral describes it as "bacterial SSU rRNA". It matches the Rfam family "Bacterial small subunit ribosomal RNA", at positions 44 to 744 of the family's 1533-position model. The record is from RNAcentral.